RNAcentral lists this ribosomal RNA (253 nucleotides) under uncultured bacterium. RNAcentral's name for it is "partial 16S ribosomal RNA". It matches the Rfam family "Bacterial small subunit ribosomal RNA", at positions 524 to 776 of the family's 1533-position model. The record is from RNAcentral.
UACGUAGGGGGCAAGCGUUGUCCGGAAUCAUUGGGCGUAAAGAGCGCGUAGGCGGCCCUGUAAGUCCGCUGUGAAAGUCAAGGGCUCAACCCUUGGAUGCCGGUGGAUACUGCAGGGCUAGAGUCCGGAAGAGGCGAGUGGAAUUCCUGGUGUAGCGGUGGAAUGCGUAGAGAUCGGGAAGAACAUCAGUGGCGAAGGCGGCCUGCUGGGCUGUUGCUGACGCUGAGGCGCGACAGCGUGGGGAGCAAACAGG